CUUGCGAGGCAGGCGUGGGCACCACUGAGCUGAAUCCCCAGCCCCAAGGAAUUUUUCAAGAUAUUAAUGUUGAGUAAUUCAGGAAAGCAAAAGUUCUAGACCUGUGGUGGUAAACCUAUGGCAUGUGUGCUGCAGUGGGCACAAAGAGCCCUCUCUGUCAACAGGCAAGCCAAGUCACCCCAGCAGCCGAGCAUCGGAUGAAGUUUUAAAACUGCCACGUGCUGCUCAAAUGGAGUAGAGGAGACUUCAGAACACUUCACUUCAGAACAGACUUCUUUUUCCUAAGAAGACUCACCGGAGUGGCUACUUUUUAUCAGGUAAAUGAAUGUAAGAAUGUAGGUUCUCCUUGUUCUUUAUUUUGUGACUGGCAAAAAGCUGCCCUUCCUAAUACUCUUGAUGUGCAGAUUUUCAUAGAAAGCAAAGAGCCUCUUGAGUGCAAAGGAACCAAGACCUUGACCCCUUACUUUUUGAUCUUCCAAUUUACUACACUCGAAUUAGAUGGCUCCAAUUGAUAUCCUUGGGCAGAAGAGAAUACAAAAGUCACCAGGAAUUAAUCUUGAGGAAAGAGGGGCAUCUGGAGCAGCCAAGCCCUAAGUGACAUAGCAUGUGCCUUGCAAGAAGCUGUUUGUCUCUCAUCAUCUCACACCUUACUUGUAUCAGACAAUAUGUUCCCAAAUAUAAUUUAAAAAAAAAAGAAAAAAAAAGUGCUCUAGCUUUGGGGCCCAGUAUUGGGCUGGGCAGUAACUCUUUUGCAUCAGCAAGACAUUGUAGUUGUAGUAGUAGACAAAAGCAGAACCGCAAGCUAAGGAUGCUAGUCUUCUAUAAUUGUCUCCUCAUCAGCUAAAUAACCUGGAAUCAAAGUAGUCACUUUUUAAUAAUUCAGUGGGAAUGCCAAAACAGAUUACUCCCCCAAUAAUACAUAGAGGUUACCAAAAUUUGGUAAAGAUGUAAUUUUAGGGAAGCACAAUUGAAUUGUGAUUUUAACCAAGAAAUUUCUGCCUGAACAAAAAUACAACCAAAGUGCAGGGCUAGGUAUAGCUCAGUGGUAGAGCAUGGGUUUAGCCUGCACUAGACUAGGUUCAAUCCUCAGCACC
This is a non-coding RNA of Heterocephalus glaber (naked mole-rat), 1094 nucleotides long. The record is from RefSeq and is a predicted model, not a curated record. NCBI's taxonomy places the organism in Eukaryota, Metazoa, Chordata, Mammalia, Rodentia, Bathyergidae.